Long non-coding RNA from Zea mays, 782 nucleotides. RefSeq lists it as uncharacterized. Lineage: Eukaryota; Viridiplantae; Streptophyta; Magnoliopsida; Poales; Poaceae. The transcript is spliced from 3 exons. The record is from RefSeq and is a predicted model, not a curated record.
AGCAUUGAGAUUUUUUUAAUCUUUUGAUGAGGUAUGAACAAGUUUAGAUGGUAUAGCCAUAUAAGUGGACAAAACAUAGACACAACAAGCAAUUGAGAAACAUGAUAGUCCAAUGCUGGAGUGGUGUCAAGGUAAUUACACAACUAAAACAAACAUGAUUCUCGACAAACUUAAACAGCAGUCAAAUUGGACAAAUGUACAGAAGUAUGAAUGAAGUUGUAAAAUGCAGUUGUAAGUUAAAGUAGAAGACAAUCAAAGAACUACAUGAUAAACUGGUCUUUCUUUUAUACAAGUACGUAUAGGCACUACGGAAUUACCAUCCUAAGUUUUAAAUUAAAUUUGUUCCAUUUCAGCUUCUGCUUAUGAAAAGAGGUGGCCAGCUCAUAUACAGUGGUUCGGUAGGUCCACUCUCUAGCAACAUGAUAAAGUAUUUUGAGGCCAUACCAGGCGUUCCUAAAAUAAACAAGGGACAAAACCCAGCAACAUGGAUGUUAGACAUCAGUUCACACAUAACAGAAUAUGAAAUUGGAGUGGACUAUGCAGAAAUUUAUUGCAAUUCCUCCCUGUACAGGUAACCCCCCAUCUGGACUAUGCAGAAAUUUAUGGCUAUCGUUCCUCAUCUUCAUCUUUUGGAACGUCUUCUCUGGCUUCAUAAUCGUGAGAGAGAUGAUGCCUGUGUGGUGGCGGUGGGUGUACUGGGCGGAUCCGGCGGCAUGGAUAGUUCAUGGCAGAGCGCCCCUCGUUUGUGGAGUUCCUCGAGGCAUAUUUAUAAUAAUAUUAUA